CGCAGCCGCGGUAAUUCCAGCUCCAAUAGCGUAUAUUAAAGUUGUUGCAGUUAAAAAGCUCGUAGUUGAAUUUCGGGAUCAGUACGCCGGUCGUGCCUCCGGUAUGUACUGGUGUUACUGGUUCCUACCUUCUGACGAACCGUCAUGUCAUUAAUUUGGUGUGGCGGGGAAUCAGGACUGUUACUUUGAAAAAAUUAGAGUGUUUAAAGCAGGCUCGCGCUUGAAUACAUUAGCAUGGAAUAAUGAAAUAGGACGUUCGAUCCUAUUUUGUUGGUUUCUAGGAUUGACGUAAUGAUUAAUAGGGAUAGUUGGGGGCAUUAGUAUUCAAUUGUCAGAGGUGAAAUUCUUGGAUUUAUUGAAGACUAACUACUGCGAAAGCAUUUGCCAAGGAUGUUUUCAUUAAUCAAGAACGAAAGUUAGGGGAUCGAAGACGAUCAGAUACCGUCGUAGUCUUAACCAUAAACUAUGCCGACUAGGGAUCGGAUGAUGUUAUUUUUAAUGACUCAUUCGGCGCCUUACG
Molecule: ribosomal RNA, 520 nt
Filed under: uncultured Glomus
Lineage: Eukaryota; Fungi; Glomeromycota; Glomeromycetes; Glomerales; Glomeraceae
Description: SSU rRNA
Rfam family: Eukaryotic small subunit ribosomal RNA
Source: RNAcentral